RNAcentral lists this ribosomal RNA (473 nucleotides) under uncultured bacterium. RNAcentral describes it as "partial 16S ribosomal RNA". It matches the Rfam family "Bacterial small subunit ribosomal RNA", at positions 29 to 507 of the family's 1533-position model. The record is from RNAcentral.
AACGAACGUUGGCGGCGUGGAUUAGGCAUGCAAGUCGUACGAGUUUCAUCUGGGUAACUGGCUGAAAAAAGUGGCGAACGGGGCAGUAAGGCAUGGAUAAUCUACCCUGAUGACCGGGAUAGCUGUCCCAACGGGCAGGUAAUACCGGAUGAGCUGGUGGGGCCGCAUGGUUCUGCCAGGAAAGGCGCAAGCCGUGUCGGGAGGAAUCCAUGUGAUAUUAGCUAGUUGGUGAGGUAAAGGCUCACCAAGGCGAAGAUGUCUAGCGGGUGUGUGAGCACGACCCGCGCCAUUGGAACUGUGACAGUGGCCAGACACCUACGGGAGGCUGCAGUCGAGGAUCUACGGCAAUGGGCGAAAGCGUGACCGAGCGACGCCGCGUGAGCGAUGAAGGCCAUUAGGUUGUAAAGCUCUGUCGAGGGGGAACAAGACGCAAGGUUGAGUGAACCCUGGAGGAAGCACGGGCUAAGUUCGUG